GGCUCAGAGUUCACCGGUGUUAGC
This 24-nucleotide non-coding RNA is filed under the name Arabidopsis thaliana (thale cress). Lineage: Eukaryota; Viridiplantae; Streptophyta; Magnoliopsida; Brassicales; Brassicaceae. The record is from RNAcentral.